This 254-nucleotide ribosomal RNA is filed under the name uncultured bacterium. Its description in RNAcentral is "partial 16S ribosomal RNA". It matches the Rfam family "Bacterial small subunit ribosomal RNA", at positions 524 to 776 of the family's 1533-position model. The record is from RNAcentral.
GACGAACCGUGCGAACGUUAUUCGGAAUCACUGGGCUUAAAGCGCGUGUAGGCGGGCCGCCGCGUCGGUUGCUGAAAUCCCCCGGCUCAACCGGGGAACGGGCAGCGAUACGGGCGGCCUGGAGGGAGGUAGGGGGGGCCGGAACUCACGGUGGAGCGGUGAAAUGCGUAGAUAUCGGGAGGAACACCAGUGGCGAAGGCGGUUGCCUGGGGCUUUGCUGACGCUGAUGCGCGAAAGCGUGGGGAGCAAACAGG